Long non-coding RNA from Canis lupus familiaris (dog), 829 nucleotides. RefSeq lists it as uncharacterized. Lineage: Eukaryota; Metazoa; Chordata; Mammalia; Carnivora; Canidae. The transcript has 3 exons. The record is from RefSeq and is a predicted model, not a curated record.
CCCUAAGAGGGUUAUAUGCAGUCAUUCCAAAUAUUGCCACUCUGAAAUAUCCACAUUUAAUGCAGCAACUGUUCAGCUGAAUUUAUUUCCUAAAUGAGAAAUUCUCUUUCAUUGGUCUUGAGAGUGUUCAAAAAAUUAACUCAAAUUAACUAUAUGGAAGCAUGAUCUUGAAUCAGACUGUGAAUUGUUGCAUGGCAUGAGCUAAAUUGGUACCUUAAAACAACCUCAACAGUAUAUUGCUAAAGAAGCAGCUUAUAUUGGGGUUGAAGAAAGAAAAAUAUGGACAGAGGAUAUUAAGACUCACCGGGAAGGAGAUACAGAAUGUGUUGUUACGGGCUAUAGUAUUUGAAGUUGGUAUAGUGGAUUAAAAGAGUGAAUGUGGAUUUUAAAACUAUGAGUUGCCCCUGCUGGAGCUAACACUGUUAGACGCAGAGCAGCAAACAGAGAUCCACACUGGCCAGUAUCCCAGCUCCUCAUAGGGUAUCAGGUGUGAGGAGGAGAAGACCAACAGGCAACGUAACCAGCGGAAUGAGUACUUCUCUCUGAUGCCUGAAUGGGGGAGCAGGAAGCAGCUAGCUGGAAAAUGUUAGAAGCAGCUGUGUGCAGGCAUUCGGACACAUGUUCCCCUCAACUCCAUGAAGAGUAUUGGAAGAGGGGAAGUGGACAAGAGCACCAAAGAAUCUCCCAUGUAAUUUGGUGUGACAUCUUCAACAGUGGCUUUUGUACACAGAAAAUAUUAUCCAGAAGCUGCUUUUUAAAAGACUGUUACUUAUUUCACUAAUAUUUCAAGUAAAUCUAGCCCCUUUUUAUCCUUUGAAGUCCAAAUUAC